AGUGGCGGACGGGUGAGUAACGCGUGAGAAUCUACCUUCAGGACGGGGACAACAGCUGGAAACGGCUGCUAAUACCCGAUAUGCCGAAAGGUGAAAAGUUAUUUCGCCUGGAGAGGAGCUCGCGUCCGAUUAGCUAGUUGGUGGGGUAAAAGCUUACCAAGGCAACGAUCGGUAGCUGGUCUGAGAGGAUGAGCAGCCACACUGGAACUGAGACACGGUCCAGACUCCUACGGGAGGCAGCAGUGGGGAAUUUUCCGCAAUGGGCGAAAGCCUGACGGAGCAACGCCGCGUGGGGGAAGAAGGUUUUUGGAUUGUAAACCCCUUUUCUCAAGGAAGAACAAAAUGACGGUACUUGAGGAAUCAGCCUCGGCUAACUCCGUGCCAGCAGCCGCGGUAAUACGGAGGAGGCAAGCGUUAUCCGGAAUUAUUGGGCUUAAAGCGUUCGUAGGCGGCUGUUCAAGUCUGCUGUCAAAGACCGAGGCUCAACCUCGGGUCGGCAGUGGAAACUGGAUAGCUAGAGGUCGGUAGGGGCAGAGGGAAUUCCCAGUGUAGCGGUGAAAUGCGUAGAUAUUGGGAAGAACACCGGUGGCGAAAGCGCUCUGCUGGGCCGAACCUGACGCUGAGGGACGAAAGCUAGGGGAGCGAAUGGGAUUAGAUACCCC
RNAcentral lists this ribosomal RNA (662 nucleotides) under uncultured bacterium. Its description in RNAcentral is "bacterial SSU rRNA". It matches the Rfam family "Bacterial small subunit ribosomal RNA", at positions 94 to 788 of the family's 1533-position model. The record is from RNAcentral.